This 252-nucleotide ribosomal RNA is filed under the name uncultured bacterium. RNAcentral's name for it is "partial 16S ribosomal RNA". It matches the Rfam family "Bacterial small subunit ribosomal RNA", at positions 524 to 775 of the family's 1533-position model. The record is from RNAcentral.
UACGUAGGUGGCAAGCGUUGUCCGGAUUUAUUGGGUUUAAAGGGUGCGUAGGCGGCUUGAUAAGUCAGUGGUGAAAGCCGAUCGCUUAACGAUCGAACUGCCAUUGAUACUGCCAGGCUUGAGUAUAGUUGAGGUAGGCGGAAUUGACAGUGUAGCGGUGAAAUGCAUAGAUAUUGUCAAGAACACCAAUUGCGAAGGCAGCUUACUAAAGUAUAACUGACGCUGAGGCACGAAAGUGCGGGGAGUCAAAAC